GGGGGUGGAUUAUGCUGUAUCCCUCACCGCUCCAUGUGCAUCCCUCCCGAAGUGGCGCACUCGGUGGAAGAGGACGACCAUCCCAGAUUGGAGGAGUGUACUGUUCUUCGGUCAAGGGUAUACGAGAG
Molecule: small RNA, 128 nt
Filed under: Podarcis lilfordi (Lilford's wall lizard)
Lineage: Eukaryota; Metazoa; Chordata; Lepidosauria; Squamata; Lacertidae
Description: 7SK RNA
Rfam family: 7SK RNA
About the family: 7SK was discovered as an abundant small nuclear RNA in the mid-70s but a possible function has only recently been suggested. Two independent studies have found that 7SK RNA binds the CDK9/cyclin T complex (known as elongation factor P-TEFb).
Source: Rfam by way of RNAcentral